This 430-nucleotide ribosomal RNA is filed under the name Xenopsylla robertsi. Its description in RNAcentral is "partial 16S ribosomal RNA". Lineage: Eukaryota; Metazoa; Arthropoda; Insecta; Siphonaptera; Pulicidae. The record is from RNAcentral.
UGUAAGAAUUAAUGGUCGAACAGACCAAAAUUUUAAACUUCUACAUUUAAAAAUAAUCUUAAUUCAACAUCGAGGUCGCAAUUAAUUUUAUCGAUAAGUACUCUAAAAAAUUUUUACGCUGUUAUCCCUUAAGUAAUUUAUUCUUUCUAUCAUAAUUUAUAGAUCAAUUCAUAAAUUAAUGAAAAAAAGUUUAUCAAAUUUUCCUAUCACCCCAAUAAAAUAUAAUAUAAAACUUUAAAGGGUCUUCUCGUCCUUUAAAUAAAUUUAAGCUUUUUAACUUAAAAAUUAAAUUCAAAUACAUUUAAACUAGACAGUUAAUAUUUCAUCCAAUCAUUCAUUCCAGCUUUCAAUUAAAAAACUAUUGAUUAUGCUACCUUUGCACAGUCAAAAUACUGCGGCCUUUUUCAAUGGGCAGAUUAGACUUUAUAUA